Molecule: non-coding RNA, 774 nt
Filed under: Junonia wahlbergi
Lineage: Eukaryota; Metazoa; Arthropoda; Insecta; Lepidoptera; Nymphalidae
Source: RNAcentral
AUAAAAUAAUUAUGUUUUUGGAAAUUUAUUAUAAAUUUAUUUUACAUAUAAAUUUUAGUAUAUAAUUUUAAUUAUUUAAAUAAUAAUUAAUUUAUUUUUGUAGUAAUUAAUAUUAAAAAUUUAAGAAAUUAAGAUUUAGUAAUAUAAAAAUUAAUAACUAAUUUUGUGCCAGCAGUUGCGGUUAAACAAAAGUUAAAUUAAAUUAUUUCAGUAUAUAAUAAAUAAUCAAUUUAUUAAAAUAAAUAUUAAAUUAUUAAGUGAAAUUUUAAUUUAAUUAAAUUUUAUUUUAAAAUUAUGAUUUAAUAAAUUUUAAUAUAAACUAGGAUUAGAUACCCUAUUAUUAAAAAUUUAAUUUAUAAUACUAAAAUAGUAAAUAAUAAUUUAUUGAAACUUAAAUAAUAUGGCGGUAUUUUAGUUCAUUUAGAGGAAUCUGUCUAAUAAUUGAUAAUCCACGAAUAAAUUUACUUAAUUUAUAAUUUUGUAUAUCAUUGUUAAAAAAAUAUUUUUUAGGAAAAAUAAUAUUUAAAAAUUAUAAUAAAAAAUUAAAUCAGAUCAAGAUGCAGAAUAUAAUUAAGAAUAUGAUGGAUUACAUUAAAUAUAUUUAUAUGAAUAAUUUUAUUGUAAUAAAAAUUUGAAGGUGGAUUUAAAUGUAAUUUUAAUUAGUUUAUUAAAAUGAUUAAAAAUUAAAAUAUGUACAUAUUGCCCGUCACUUUCAUUUAAAAAUUGAAAUAAGUCGUAACAAAGUAGAGGUACUGGAAAGUGUUUCUAGAAAGA